GUGCACCAGGCGCGAAACCUUCGCAAUGCAGGAAACUGCGACGAGGGAACUCCAAGUGCCUACGCUCAGCGUAGGCUGUUCUCAAGCCUAGAAAGCUUGAGGAGUAAGGGCUGGGUAAGACGGGUGCCAUCUGUGGUAGCAGUCAAUAGAUUCGAUUUGUUACUGCAAGGCAUAAGCCGCCGCGGUAAUACCCGCAGCCCAAGUGGUGGCCGCUUUUAUUGGGCCUAAAGCGUCCGUAGCCGGCCCGGUAAAUGCCUGGGGUAAAUCGUGGAGCCCAACUUCACGAAUUCCGGGUAGACUGCCGAGCUCGGGACCGGAAGAGGGAGAGGGUACUUCAGGGGUAGGGGUGAAAAUUUCCUUUCCAUUAACGCUUUUGCGCGAAGCGGAAAGGGUUAUCACAAUCCUGUAAUCCCUGGAGGACCACCCGUGGCGAAGGCGCUCUCCUAAGACGGGUCCGACGGUGAGGGACGAAAGGCCAGGGGAGCAAACCGGGAUUACGGAUACCCCCGUAGUCCCUAAGACUGCCCAAGGCCACACAGGGGAUAGG
Molecule: ribosomal RNA, 547 nt
Filed under: uncultured microorganism
Description: bacterial SSU rRNA
Rfam family: Archaeal small subunit ribosomal RNA
Source: RNAcentral